GAUAAACGCUGGCGGCGCACAUAAGACAUGCAAGUCGAACGAACUUAAUUGAGAGCUUGCUCUCAAAGCGGUUAGUGGCGGACUGGUGAGUAACACGUAAGCAACCUGCCUAUUAGAGGGGAAUAACAGCGAGAAAUCGUUGCUAAUACCGCAUAUGCUGUGAGUAUCGCAUGAUACAAGCAGGAAAGGAGCAAUCCGCUAAUAGAUGGGCUUGCGUCUGAUUAGUUAGUUGGUGGGGUAACGGCCUACCAAGACGAUGAUCAGUAGCCGGACUGAGAGGUUGAACGGCCACAUUGGGACUGAGAUACGGCCCAGACUCCUACGGGAGGCAGCAGUCGGGAAUAUUGCGCAAUGGAGGAAACUCUGACGCAGUGACGCCGCGUGCAGGAAGAAGGUUUUCGGAUUGUAAACUGCUUUUAACAGGAAAGAAAAAAAUGACGGUACCUGUUGAAUAAGCU
RNAcentral lists this ribosomal RNA (458 nucleotides) under Clostridiales bacterium oral taxon 085. Its description in RNAcentral is "bacterial SSU rRNA". It matches the Rfam family "Bacterial small subunit ribosomal RNA", at positions 28 to 492 of the family's 1533-position model. The record is from RNAcentral. Lineage: Bacteria; Bacillati; Bacillota; Clostridia; Eubacteriales.